Molecule: long non-coding RNA, 290 nt
Filed under: Elaeis guineensis (African oil palm)
Lineage: Eukaryota; Viridiplantae; Streptophyta; Magnoliopsida; Arecales; Arecaceae
Description: long non-coding RNA (EGUI_LNC023155)
Source: RNAcentral
GCCAAAGAACUCACUAUAGCCAAGAUAAACCUCGGUCUUCCUCCUCUUUGUUUUUUCUUCUCUCCAUGGCUCUAAACCAUUCCCCACCGACUUCAAUUUUGUUGGAAAUCAAUCGGAAAGAGAAACCCCUAUUUUUUUUAUUUGAUUUUUUCUUUUUCCAACGACCUAUGCCGCCUCUGUUGGACACUGAACCCUUGGUCGAGUUUCAUGGCCUCCCUACGACACUCCAUAAAGUCAUGGUUGCUGGUGAAUGGCUAAUGACCAAAAGCAAAGAGAAUCCCUUGUCCCCU